This 426-nucleotide ribosomal RNA is filed under the name uncultured eukaryote. Its description in RNAcentral is "SSU rRNA". It matches the Rfam family "Eukaryotic small subunit ribosomal RNA", at positions 567 to 990 of the family's 1831-position model. The record is from RNAcentral.
CCAGCAGCUGCGGUAAUUCCAGCUCCAAUAGCGUAUAUUAAAGUUGUUGCAGUUAAAAAGCUCGUAGUUGGAUUUCUGGCACGAUGCGCCUGGCCCGCCUCAUUACGAGUGUGUGUGCUAGUGCGCGUCUGCCAUCCAUUUACAGAACGGUCGUACCUUUCAUUAGGCCGCGCUCGUGAUGUAAAUCUUUUACUUUGAAAAAAUUAGAGUGUUUAAAGCAGGCAUUUGCUAUGAAUACAUUAGCAUGGAAUAAUAAUCUAGGACUCUGGUUCUAUUUUGUUGGUUUCUAGUACUGGAGUAAUGAUUGAUAGGGAUAGUUGGGGGUGCUAGUAUUUAGGGGCCAGAGGUGAAAUUCUUGGAUUCUCUAAAGACUAACUUAUGCGAAAGCAUUCACCAAGGAUGUCUUCUUUGAUCAAGAACGAAAGU